This 1976-nucleotide long non-coding RNA is filed under the name Diabrotica virgifera virgifera (western corn rootworm). RNAcentral describes it as "uncharacterized LOC126892306". Lineage: Eukaryota; Metazoa; Arthropoda; Insecta; Coleoptera; Chrysomelidae. The record is from RNAcentral.
AUAACCUUAUAAACAAACAGUUGUUUAUUUAGAGUUAUUUAUUAUUGUUUUCUCAUAUUUUGCAAUUGUUAAGUUGGUUUACUUCGAAUUUAAUGUGCAUUACUGUGGUAUUUCUCCAGUUUUCUAAGAAGGUUGGUGAUUUUGAAUUGGGAUUAUGAUGAAUUUAACCCAAAGGCAAUGUGUGUGUUUAUUUAUGUGGCAAAAUUCCAGGCACCAUAAAAAUUUGAGUUUCUUCCUGUUGCCCAUGGCACAGCCCCAUGGAUGAAAAUCGGUUUGCAGAAUGAAAAGAAAUUGUUCAAUGUGAUAAACUUUCUAUGAACAGUCCUCAGUGUUGUUACAUUAACUUUUAAAUAUGCAUCUUGAGGAGCAGGCCUUUGCAGAAAUACUGAAAAGCGGGUUGCAAAACAACGCAAAAUAAAAUAAACGAAAUAUGUCUUGGAAUGAUAAUUUUGUAAUUCUGUAGGCACAUCUAUUGAGAAGUUACAACCAGUGGCAAAGUGCCUUAAGGGAAUCUAUGACAUAUAUAAUUGAAGGUAUCAGCAUUGGCUCUACAGCCCAUGGUGGGUCUUGGCCUGUUCCAGAAUCAGCUUCCACUCUUUCCUAUCCUUUGCUUGGCUUUCCAAUUUCUCACUCGAGCAUGAAUUUUUGGUAUAUAUGGGAUUAUAUUGUGAUAACGACCAGAUCUAUGAAAGAAUAGUAUGUUGUUAAAGAAGAUUGUGGUGACACUAUUCAUGAAUAUCUGAUAAUAUUGGUUAAUGUGAAUGGAGUCCAAAAUGGGGUUUAGGCUGUUAUAUAAAAAACUAGGUCAUUAGCAUAUGGAAGUAGGGCGACAUUAUCUGGUAUUAAAUUAUGUGAAUGAGGAGAAUUAAACCUAAAAACUCUAUUUAUUCUGCUAAUCAAUAUGAAUUUAAUAUAUUUUAAUAUAAAACAUAUGUUAUUCUUUCUAGGGACACCUCCUCUGAAGGAAUUACAAUUAUUUGCCAGUAUGUCAAAUGAAUUUUCAACAUCAGUCAUACUUUCAUGAAUUUAUUGAUGAAAAUAAAACUAGGUACAUGAUUUAUUAUUUACUUCUAAGGGAUUCUAAGAUACUAUGUGUAAAAAGUCCAAUAUGCAGUGAUGAGCAUGCUAAUAACUGGCAAAAUAUGGGAUAUAACGCCAAAGAUGGGAAACAUGGGAUGCAUUCUGAAGUAAAAAGAGAUGAAACUGAGAGAAAUUAUUGAUAUAAACAUAUAAAUUAACAUUGCAUUACAUAGUUUCCCACCUUUAGACGUAUCAGAUGAGUAUGAGAACUGUCACUGUGCCAGGAGAAUUUUAUAAAAUACUCCUGUCACAGAGAUCUAAAGGUGGGAAACUAUGUAAUGUUAUCGUCGGCUAAGAGUGUUAACCUGCUAACUCUAUUUUUCACUGUGAGUGAUAUUGGGGUAGUUUCUAGGUCUGUGUACCUUCAUACCAUGUCCCACAAGCCCGCUGGUUCCACUGUAGUUUAGAGAUAGCUAUUUCUAAACUACAUUGGUGUCGGCGGGUUUGUGUGGUGGUGUAUGAAAAUACACGGACCCAGAAACUAGCCCAAUAUCACUCAAAGUGAAAAAUGGAGGUUAAAACUCUUAUCCAAGGUUAUGUUAAUUUAUUCGUUUAUAACGAUAAGUUCCACUUCUACCAGUUUCAUCUCUUUUUAUCUCACAAGUUAAUAUGUUUUCCAUCUUUUGCUUUAUUUUGCCGGUUAUUAGUGUGAGUGCUCAUUACUGUAUAUUUACGAUUCUGUGAUUUCUCAAUAUGAUGCUGAGUAGGUAUAGAUCUGAGUAGGUAUAUAGUAGGUAUCUACAACCCUUUCAAAACAGAAAUUUAUAAGUUCAUUUUAUGUACCUAUUAAACUUUAUUUUAAGGAUGAAUUUGAAAUGCUUGUAGGGAAUAUAUCUGUAAAAAAUAAAAUUGGUAUUGUAAAAUUGAAAUUCUCAAAAUAUAAUUUAUAAUUCGAA